UGGCGGUUGACUGCAGUGAGCAGAGCAUGUAUUGAACGCCUUGAGAUGGGCGCUCGGCAACCUCAGGCUCCUAUCCCCUGCGCCCGACUCUAAUGAAACCCCAGGCUCCUUCAUCAUGCUCCACGUCCAAUCUCCACCUCUGAUUGUAGCUUGCCUCAAUCCCGGCGUCGCCCCCUUCGGUGGGCCCAGUUACCAUAAGCACAGCUCAUUCGAUCAUGAAUCUGUUUAUGCCUUUAAGGUUUGAUUUUUAGUAUUUGAUUUGAUUUUUAGUAUUUUCCUCCCUUGUCAAUUAUUUACUUGAGUUAAGCUGUACAGUCAUGUGAUUUGUCAUAUUAUAUAAAAGUGAGUAUUAGAUAAAAAAAAGUCAUAUUUAUUUUAGAUGAGAG
Molecule: unclassified non-coding RNA, 386 nt
Filed under: Hevea brasiliensis (rubber tree)
Lineage: Eukaryota; Viridiplantae; Streptophyta; Magnoliopsida; Malpighiales; Euphorbiaceae
Source: RNAcentral